This 441-nucleotide ribosomal RNA is filed under the name uncultured bacterium. RNAcentral's name for it is "bacterial SSU rRNA". It matches the Rfam family "Bacterial small subunit ribosomal RNA", at positions 29 to 456 of the family's 1533-position model. The record is from RNAcentral.
AAUGAACGCUGGCGGCGUGCUUAACACAUGCAAGUCGAACGAGGCUGAGGGGGCAACUCCUCAGUUUAGUGGCGGACGGGUGAGUAACACGUGGGUAACCUGCCCGGAAGUGGGGAAUACCUCGGGGAAACUCGAGCUAAUACCGCAUAACAUCUUUAGGACGAUGGUCCUGACGAUCAAAGCGGGGUCGCAAGAUCUCGCGCUACCGGAUGGGCCCGCGCCUGAUUAGCAGUUGGUGGGGUAACGGCUCACCAAGGCUUCGAUCAGUAACCGGCCUGAGAGGGCGAUCGGUCACACCGGAACUGAGACACGGUCCGGACUCCUACGGGAGGCAGCGAGUGGGGAAUCUUGCGCAAUGGGCGAAAGCCUGACGCAGCAACGCCGCGUGGAGGAUGAAGGCCCUUGGGUUGUAAACUCCUGUCGGCUGGGAAGAAAUCUUCC